Long non-coding RNA from Malaclemys terrapin pileata, 2992 nucleotides. RefSeq lists it as uncharacterized. NCBI's taxonomy places the organism in Eukaryota, Metazoa, Chordata, Testudines, Emydidae. The record is from RefSeq and is a predicted model, not a curated record. The transcript has 3 exons.
AGGGCAGCGAGGGGCGGGGCGGAGGCAGAGCGCCCGGGUGUCCCGGCAGGACAGACGCGUCUCCGCGGAACACGACGCUCCCCCAUCCCCGCGUUCACACCAGCCUUGCAGCAAGGCUUCGGGCGCUCCCCCGCAGUGUUUCCAACCCAACACUUUAAAGUCACGCCCGCCCCACCUUGGUGCUCAGGGCCCCGAUCAGCCAACUCGUAAGAACCAAACUGCCUGGGGACACUUGCCCAAACCAAGCCCUGCCUCGCCCGAGGAGGAAUGUGCCAAUGCAUAAAUUCGGUGACAAUGUGGAUACCAGAAAUGUCAUUGCAUCAAGCUUUUUAAAAGAAAUUACAACACACCAAGGUUCACGAUGCCACAUCACCCACUAAUGGAAUUACAACUGAAGCAGUGUGCCACUGGUGCCUUUUAUUUGCACACAUAGGAAAAUCUCAAUUUGCCAAAGUAAUUUAUAAUCUUCUAGCUCAGCAUUUCCUCUAUGUUCUCAGAACUGAUGACAAGUGUAUUUAGCAGGCUUCGCUGUCGUGUGUGGCACGUAUGCUCUGGAGUUGGUAGUUGGUUUGUGUUCAUUAAGUUGCAUUGUUGCGUUAAAGUAAUAUGAGAGACUAUUUCUGAAUAUUACAAAUGUUCUGUCAAACUGAACAUGUAUAGACUCUAAUAUCUUGUCUAGAGGGCAAUGUGUUUGAAAUCAAUUUUAAGAGGCAAAAUUUCCUCAACAGCUGUCAUGUUUGAGUUGUGAUCUAACAUUUACUAUAAAACAUUUCAACUUCUGUUUUCAAGCUAUACAGAUGUUUGAAGUGCCACAGCUGGGAGGGACUUGCAGGGUGCAAGUACUACUCACCAAUCUUUGCUCCCUUGAAACCUGUGGAGUUCAUUCUCCAGGGGAUCCACUCUGGUUUGAGCCAUGGAGGGAUGUGUCAGGAGGCACGGCGUUUGAUUUACUCAUGACUACCACAUUUCCUCCUCCUCUCUGAUUACUAGCACAAGCAUUCUGCAUAGGAAACUGUUCAGGGUUUGUGUGGGGUCCCAUGACGGACCAUACACAAACAAAAUAAUUCAGCCUUUGCAAUACUAGUUUGCUUCUCUUUUAGAGGCAAAAGCAAACAGGGACAGACUUGGCCCAUAAAAGGGACAGGAGACAGGCCCAGCGCAAAGCAAAAUAAUGAUAUGUUCUGCAACAAGAAGGAAUGUAGGAUAAUAACUACAAGGAACCAGCAAGCAAAGCACCCGAGGCCUGAGGCAGCAUGAGGAGGUGUCUGUAACAAUCAUGAGAGAGCAGCCCGGAGCCUUAACUUGUAAUGACUAUGUAGCCCACAUAUCAAAAGGCUCUCCCACAAACACACACAACUACAAAUACAAUGAAGCCCUUUGAAAUGAAUACUGAAUAAAGGAAUAACAUGGUUUCAAAAUAAACCUCCAGUACACCUCAAGGUAAAAUAUAAUAGAAAUCUGACCUGAUAAGCGUCUCUGCCUGUCAAAGGAAUACAUUCCAUCUGGACCAACUCAAGACGAUAUGCAGAGACAUUCACACAGCAAUUGUAAAUACAGGGAUACCAAUCAAAGGAACAGGCCUGUUCAGAAACGUGUCACAAAUCAUAUGAACUGUGUUUGGGUUUUUUAUAUUGUUUUGUAGGCUGAUAACUUCAGCUCCAAGUUUCAGUGAGGGGUAUUUUAAAACAGCCAUCAUAUAAAGCAAUGAUCAGUUCAAAAUAAGCCCCUAGAACGUUUGAAUAACUUACAAUUUUGAAGCCCCUUGACAGACCCAAAGAUUCUCCUCGUACACAUGGUAGCCCAGCUCAGGCCCUGCUUUCGCUUACCUUUGUCCUCGGAUUCAGAAGAAGGCCCAGUAUCUUCCAUCAGGGGCAUCUGGACAACUCAGUCCAAGGUGGGAUCUCACUUUCAUCUGGGGGGGGGUCUCCCAAGUGACCAUAUCCCAUACUCUUGUGUUGUACAAACAGCCCGCCGUUGGCCUUUUAAUUUUAACAAUAUCAUUGCUUUCAAAUCUAGUGCCAUCUGGCGUUUACAUCCCAGAGAGCACUGCCCUCUUAUGAAAUUCCAUCCCACAAUUUGUACAUGUAUUAUUCCAAUCCUUUUUGGUAGACCUGCUUCCUGUGAGACCUGAUAGGCAGUGGAAGGUGAUGGAGGUGAUAAGGAAAUCUGGAACCACCUGACCAAAGAGAAAAACAAAGCAAAUGAAUAAAGACAAAGGACAGGCAUUGUAUUUUUUUUUUACUUGACAGUGUUUCCAGAUUACGUCUCUUAUUCCAGGAGAAACUGCCCUUCCUUCCUUUUCUACAUUUGGAACUGAAAGACCUCAAGAAAGUUGAGCUUCUUUAAUAUCCUCCCUUCUGCCUUUCAUUAUAAAACAGUUGCAGUGCUACUACCUAUCUUUGCCGCUCCCUAGCAAGUAUUUGCCACCAGAACCUAUAAGCAGCCUUGAAACCUGACUAAAUAAACUACAAUGACAUUUCAGUCUGCAGGUGCCCCUUGUUUAUUUUGGGUUUAAACUAGCAUCUCCUGAAAAGUGCUUCCCAGUUGGAAGUUACUCCCUCAUCCAGCAGCUUUUGACAUUACAAUACCCUCCUGGUCAUUUUUUAAACUUACUGAGUAUUGGCAAUUUUCCACUGUUAGCCCAAAUAAUUGGACUUAACCUUUCAGUCUAACUUUAUGAAAUAGCGAUUGUGUCUACACAGUAUUGUGUAUUUGUUUGAGAUGAAAAAUAAAGCAUAUUCAAAGUGACAAAAUAAAUUGAUAGUUGCAAUUUACUAUAAACCUGCUAACAUUCAUCAUCUGUCUUUUCAUUAUUAUUGUGGCACUGCCUCAGAGUAAGUUGCAUUCCUACUUAUGCAAAUACAAUAUUUCCUUAUUUAUCUGCCUGUACCACAGCUGCAUUUGCCUGUAUUGUAACAUAAGACAUUCAUUUCAUCAACAGAGAAUGAUUACUAUUGUAUUUGGCUGAUUAAAAUUAGCACAAGAAAGCAAA